GGGGAAUUUUGGACAAUGGGGGAAACCCUGAUCCAGCCAUCCCGCGUGUGCGAUGAAGGCCUUCGGGUUGUAAAGCACUUUUGGCAGGGAAGAAAAGGUUCUGGCUAAUACCCGGAACUGCUGACGGUACCUGCAGAAUAAGCACCGGCUAACUACGUGCCAGCAGCCGCGGUAAUACGUAGGGUGCAAGCGUUAAUCGGAAUUACUGGGCGUAAAGCGUGCGCAGGCGGUUUGGCAAGAAGGAUGUGAAAUCCCAGGGCUUAACCUUGGAACUGCAUUCUUAACUGCCAGGCUAGAGUAUGUCAGAGGGGGGUAGAAUUCCGCGUGUAGCAGUGAAAUGCGUAGAGAUGCGGAGGAAUACCGAUGGCGAAGGCAGCCCCCUGGGAUAAUACUGACGCUCAUGCACGAAAGCGUGGGGAGCAAAC
Molecule: ribosomal RNA, 425 nt
Filed under: uncultured bacterium
Lineage: Bacteria
Description: bacterial SSU rRNA
Rfam family: Bacterial small subunit ribosomal RNA
Source: RNAcentral